CUGCAACCAAUUAAGCUGACCAUGCCACCCUCCCCAUGGCACCCGGUGUGCAGUGGCUGCAAACAGCAGCCUCCUGGGUAGUAUAUGCAGCCUGUUGCUUGUAUAGGCUGCCCUAAGGGACCCUGGAGACAGCC
Erinaceus europaeus (western European hedgehog) is the source of this 134-nucleotide small nucleolar RNA. Its record names the gene SNORA70. It matches the Rfam family "Small nucleolar RNA SNORA70". From Rfam's summary of the family: snoRNA U70 seems to be exclusive to mammals and is a member of the H/ACA class of snoRNA which contain H (ANANNA) and ACA box motifs. H/ACA box snoRNAs are involved in the conversion of uridines to pseudouridines (5-ribosyluracil) a constituent of structural RNAs (transfer, ribosomal, small nuclear, and small nucleolar). The record is from Ensembl. NCBI's taxonomy places the organism in Eukaryota, Metazoa, Chordata, Mammalia, Eulipotyphla, Erinaceidae.